RNAcentral lists this long non-coding RNA (892 nucleotides) under Pan troglodytes (chimpanzee). Its description in RNAcentral is "long non-coding RNA NONPTRT011788". Lineage: Eukaryota; Metazoa; Chordata; Mammalia; Primates; Hominidae. The record is from RNAcentral.
UGGGGGACAAGAAGGGGGUGAGCUGGGUGCUGAGAACAUGACUUCAUACAUAACGAACAUGAGAAGAAUAAGUUUCCCUAUAAACAACAUCAGAAGAGGUACUGAAGAUAAUAAUAAACUGUGAGCUCCAUUAAAACUUAGGAUGUGCAAAUUUAACGUGAGCAUAAUUAUCUGUUUCUUAUAAGGGAUAGGAAAAAGCCCCCAAAGAGAUAGAAAGAAUGCAGAAAUGAAAAGGAUAAUUGGCGAAAAGGCAAUCUAAAUACCAAGACCCUGGGAAAAGCGAGAAAGCCAUGCCCAUUCCAGGCCCUUGGAUGAAGCAAAAAAGCCAGCAUCUUUUUGUGGAGCUGAUAACACAAAUCUCAGCAGAAUAGAGAAGCACACAAGACUAUGCCCAUCUUCCCACCCACACCGGAGAGCGAGCUGAGUGCAUACACAUGGACGCGUGGGGAGAAGAGGAGGUGACCAUCCGUCCCUUCACAGCAUGCUAACAAUUUUGUCAACUGGCUCUUCAACAUACUCAGACUGGGGUGGCGGGGGUGGGGGAGGACAGUUUCCUACAGACACAGUAGGAACAUGGCCUCUAGGCAUUAAAUUAACCAGCGGUUUCUUUGGCAUGUUCGAACAAGUCUAGAACCCAAAGCACAUAUGCUAAGGGGAGAGGAAAAUUGCCUACUUGAUAAAAAUAAGCGGUAUCUAACCUCUGAGCUCAGAGCUUGAUUUCUGAUGCCAGUUUGAUAAGACUGGCAAAUGCACUUCUUGGUAACAACACUGAGGCCAGUACGGGAGCACUGAGUAUUCAAGUCUCACACAUAGCAUGACUUAAGAAAUGACAGCAGCAUUAGGAAAUGUGCUAAAAUUUUAAAAGGUGUAACAACCCUGUCUUCUGGUUACC